UACGUAGGGACCAAGCGUUGUUCGGAUUUACUGGGCGUAAAGGGCGCGUAGGCGGCGCGGUAAGUCACUUGUGAAAUCUCUGAGCUUAACUCAGAACGGCCAAGUGAUACUGCAGUGCUAGAGUGUGGAAGGGGCAAUCGGAAUUCUUGGUGUAGCGGUGAAAUGCGUAGAUAUCAGGAAGAACACCGAUGGCGAAGGCAGUGGGCUGGGCCGGUACUGACGCUGAGGAGCGAAAGCGUGGGGAGCGAACAGG
Molecule: ribosomal RNA, 253 nt
Filed under: uncultured bacterium
Lineage: Bacteria
Description: partial 16S ribosomal RNA
Rfam family: Bacterial small subunit ribosomal RNA
Source: RNAcentral